GAGUUUGAUCUUGGCUCAGGACGAACGCUGGCGGCGUGCUUAACACAUGCAAGUCACGGGGGCCCGCAAGGGCAACCGGCGAACGGGUGCGUAACACGUGAGCAAGCUUCCGAUUUGUGGGGGAUAGCCGGCCUAACGGCCGGGUAAUACCGCAUACGUUCACUGGGCGGCAUCGUCUGGUGAGGAAACCUCCGGGGCAAAUCGAGGCGCUCGCGGCCUAUCAGCUAGUUGGCGGGGUAAUGGCCCACCAAGGCGACGACGGGUAGCUGGUCUGAGAGGAUGGCCAGCCACAUUGGGACUGCGACACGGCCCAGACUCCUACGGGAGGCAGCAGUGGGGAAUAUUGCGCAAUGGACGAAAGUCUGACGCAGCGACGCCGCGUGUGGGAUGAAGCUCUUCGGGGUGUAAACCACUGUUGCCCGGGACGAAAUGCCCUUUCGAGGGAAUUGACGGUACCGGGUGAGGAAGCACCGGCUAACUCCGUGCCAGCCGCCGCAGUAAU
RNAcentral lists this ribosomal RNA (502 nucleotides) under uncultured Gemmatimonadota bacterium. RNAcentral describes it as "bacterial SSU rRNA". It matches the Rfam family "Bacterial small subunit ribosomal RNA", at positions 9 to 524 of the family's 1533-position model. The record is from RNAcentral. Lineage: Bacteria; Pseudomonadati; Gemmatimonadota.